CCUACGGGCGGCAGCAGUGGGGGAUAUUGCACAAUGGGGGGAACCCUGAUGCAGCGAUGCCGCGUGGGUGAAGAAGCGCCUCGGCGCGUAAAGCCCUGUCAGCAGGGAAGAAAAUGACGGUACCUGAAGAAGAAGCCCCGGCUAACUACGUGCCAGCAGCCGCGGUAAUACGUAGGGGGCAAGCGUUAUCCGGAUUUACUGGGUGGAAAGGGGGCGCAGACGGCGAUGCAAGCCAGGAGUGAAAGCCCGGGGCCCAACCCCGGGACUGCGCUUGGAACUGCGUGGCUGGAGUGCAGGAGGGGCAGGCGGAAGUCCUGGUGUAGCGGUGAAAUGCGUAGAUAUCAGGAGGAACACCGGUGGCGAAGGCGGCCUGCUGGACUGCAACUGACGUUGAGGCCCGAAAGCGUGGGGAGCAAACAGGAUUAGAUACCCUUGUAGUC
Molecule: ribosomal RNA, 440 nt
Filed under: uncultured bacterium
Lineage: Bacteria
Description: partial 16S ribosomal RNA
Rfam family: Bacterial small subunit ribosomal RNA
Source: RNAcentral